This 39-nucleotide non-coding RNA is filed under the name Leminorella richardii. RNAcentral describes it as "JUMPstart RNA". It matches the Rfam family "JUMPstart RNA". Lineage: Bacteria; Pseudomonadati; Pseudomonadota; Gammaproteobacteria; Enterobacterales; Budviciaceae. The record is from RNAcentral.
CAGCGUUCGGGUAGCUGCAAAGCCUGGGGCGGUAGCGUG